This 380-nucleotide long non-coding RNA is filed under the name Lathyrus oleraceus (garden pea). RNAcentral describes it as "Pisum sativum (pea) long non-coding RNA (PSAT_LNC020687)". The record is from RNAcentral. Lineage: Eukaryota; Viridiplantae; Streptophyta; Magnoliopsida; Fabales; Fabaceae.
UUUAUUUCAGUUAUUUAAAAAAAAAAAGAGAAUGAAGAAAAGAGUAUUUAUGUUGCUUUUGUUUUUCUCCAUUCCUGCAUUUCAAUACUGAGAGAGAAAAGAGAGCUUUGUUUAUUUUGUUUUUUUUUGUUUUUAUCCAUUGCCAUGUGUCGUAGUGUAAUAGGUUGUACUUUAUUUUAUUUUUUAAAAAAGGAAAAAGAAGAAAAGAGAGAACUUAGUCAUUUAGUUAAAUGGGGCGCCUCCUCACCCCACUUACAGUUUUUUUCUCUUCUUUUUAUUUUCUUUUAUGUUAUUAUAUUUUUAUAUUAUUAUUAUUACUAUUAUUAUUAUUAUUAUUAUUAUUAUUAUUAUUAUUAUUAUUAUUAGCUUGUUAUGAUUAU